Molecule: long non-coding RNA, 2762 nt
Filed under: Triticum aestivum (bread wheat)
Lineage: Eukaryota; Viridiplantae; Streptophyta; Magnoliopsida; Poales; Poaceae
Description: long non-coding RNA (TAES_LNC026798)
Source: RNAcentral
AUAGUCACCCUUAGAGGAUUGUUUUUCAUUUCAAAUAUAUCACAGAAUUGCACAGCCCACACAUGACCAAGUAACAUAUAUUGUAUAUAGCACAACUUUCAAAAUAUCAGAAGAGUUGCAUCAGAAUUACAUUGAUCAUGAUGAGUAAUCUAGAAAGUUUAAAAUGCAAAAAAAACUAAGAUAUAAUGGUCCAAGCAUUAUGCAUAAGCUAGAUUGACCAAAACCCCAUGAUUUCACUUUGUUGAACGUCUUGAAGAAAGAUCACUAGACUCGUCACCCUUCAUCACCAUAUGGAUCAUAAUGCUCGUCGCCAAAUAGAUCAUAACAAUCAUCGCCAUAGACAUCAUCACCCUUGCCAUAGAUCAUGAUUCUUCAGUACUGUCUCCCAUUCCUAAGAAAUGAUUAGACUAGAUGUAAGGGAGAUGAAAACGACAUACUGUAGUUUAAAUUUAAUUGAUGAUACAAAAAAAGGAACUUAGAUGUUCUAAUUGACUGGUUAGAUAUCUAACAGUAUGACUACGUACUCACCUUUUGGUCCUUCACAUGCAAUUUUCAGGGUUACAUGAAUCAGCAGGAACGCAACUCCAAAUAAUAGACUGAGUACUACACGUUGCUCUGUGUACAAAAGGAAUAUACCAAUAAACUGCACUAAUGUCAAUUUCAUUAUAAGUUUGCAACGGUUCAGAACACAUCAUGCUUUCCAAAUUACUUGUAACAUUAAUAUAAUUCGAAGCACACGACAUUUUUUAAUUAACUGUAACAAUCGUAUGUCCAGAACCCGCAUGUAAUAUGGUUACACCAAGAUGGCCAUGUGAUACAGGUAAAAAAACCUUAUCUGAAAGACACAUAUGUCGUGUCGAUAAUCGAUUCAUUGGCUUGUUGAAGUUGUAAAAUGAUAACCAAGUACAAAUGUACAACAGACAUCUGCAACCCCACUGAAGUAUAUAUACUAGCGCUUAUAUUUUGUAGUCUGAUGACACAACAGAAGCAGUAGACUAGCAUAACACUAUUGGCUAGUUUGGGCAUACAAUAAAUACAAAAAACAGAUUUAGAAUGUCAUGUAAAGAAAGAUAUAAAUACAAAAAACAGAUGUAGAAUAGCAGUAGCACACUAAUCUCCACCAACUAUAGUUAUUGCGCAUAGCAAAUUAAGCAACUUCUUAUGUUUCGUAUGACAUGUCACAAUCAUUCUUCAUGUUAAGCUACCAUUAUUUCUGUAUGCACUUCCAAAAAAAUUCAAUAUUGUCCACUUUUUUAGAUAAACAGAGAGGCGGCCCCCUGGUUCCAUUACUAAAAUGAAACCAAGUUUGCUGGACAUUCUCAAAAGCAUCAAGGUCUGGAAAGUUGAGGACCAAAAGAGGCAAAGCUAGUACAGGGAAAAACAAAAGCUAGAAAGGAGGACGCCUGAUGAGGGUCAAACAUGCCAGAUCAUAUUAUCUAAUGUUGAAAUAUUUUUCUCUGUGCAAAUGAUUUUACUGUUAUUGAUUAUAGCAACAUUUUUUCCUAUAUGAGUUCAACCAAAUUGUGCCAUCGCACCUUAAUUAAGAUGGAUUUAAUAGAUAGAUAUCUCAGUUAUGAGCCACAUCUGGGAAAAUAGGGCAUAAGCAGUUGCAUACAUCAUAUAUAGUACAACAGUACCACGUAGGCAAUGAGGUAAGCUAAGAAAUCAGGCUCAAAUAAAAAGAGCAUGUCUCAAAGCAAGUUAUCCGCAGCAUGCUCAUGUUGUCCAGAACUAAAUUGGCGCAUAACUAAAUGGGUAAGACAUGAUGGACUAACCUUUUCAGCUAGUCUUGACGAGCAUCAUCUCACCCCCUUUGAAAGCCGCCUUCAAAAUCUGAUGUGGCCUAUAUUUAUCAAACUGUAAGAAACCCUGCUCUACAUCUUUGAGAAAGAACACACAGGACAUGAUGUUAACAUGUCAGUGACUGCUUCAGCCUUAGGCAUACAAGUUAAAUGUUACAGAACUACAAAAUACUGAUAAGAAAAGCAAAAGCGAGAUUACAAAACUUAUAAUUACAUCUACGAACCAAAACUGAAGGAAAAAGAACUAGGAAUGUACGUACUAUGACAUGAAUGGAGGACCUCUUCAAUGUUAGUUGGUUUGCUUACAGGGACUGCUAGUUAAGCUAUACAGUAGUAUCAAGUAUACAUGCCAGUCCUGAUUACACACGCUGAUAUAGGGUCUCUUCUCUUAUGUACUAUUCCCAACUGCCGCAACUAGCUAGCCUUGACCAAACAUGCAUGCAUCAACACAAGCUAGCCAGCUCAACUCACCGACGCAAAUGGCCACUUGCUAGUUAAUCAAACUAUUUUUCAACACAUAGGCUUGACUUUACUUUCCAAACUAAUAGGCUCGGCUUUGUUUUUCAACAACCAUACAAAAGAAAAAAACUAAACAGACAUGCAAACAACCAUGGCCUCGUUAUAGAACUUGAACCUCACCACCACACUAGCCCUUCAUGGCACCAUCUCCUCCAUCUCCCCGCUAUUCAACUUGAACAACAGGAGCAAAUCCUGCACCACAACCACCAGAACACAAUCCCACCAUCCAGUACAAAAGCACACGUACACACGCCACAUAUAUGACCUGCUCAACGAAUUGCGCAAAGCCCAAAAGAAGAGGCGACCGGACCUGGUACAGGUGGGUGGAGGCGGGUGUGGGCGUGGUCCACUCGGCGACAUCAGAGGGGCACACGGAUGAGGAGGAGUUUCAGGAAGGGGCUGAUACAUGGCGUAGGAGGUGAAGGGAGAGAGAGCCCAUGA